This 233-nucleotide ribosomal RNA is filed under the name uncultured bacterium. RNAcentral's name for it is "partial 16S ribosomal RNA". It matches the Rfam family "Bacterial small subunit ribosomal RNA", at positions 794 to 1028 of the family's 1533-position model. The record is from RNAcentral.
UCCACGCAGUAAACGUUGUACACUAGGUGUAGCGGGUAUUGACCCCUGCUGUGCCGGAGCUAACGUAUUAAGUGUACCGCCUGGGGAGUACGGUCGCAAGACUAAAACUCAAAGAAAUUGACGGGGGCCCGCACAAGCGGUGGAGCAUGUGGUUUAAUUCGACGCAACGCGAAGAACCUUACCCAGACUUGACAUCCUUGGAUCUGUAAGAGAAUAGAGUGCCCGGGAGCACA